AGAGUUUGAUCCUGGCUCAGAACGAACGCUGGCGGCAUGCCUAACACAUGCAAGUCGAACGAUGCCUUCGGGCAUAGUGGCGCACGGGUGCGUAACGCGUGGGAAUCUGCCCUUGGGUUCGGAAUAACUCAGAGAAAUUUGAGCUAAUACCGGAUGAUGACGUAAGUCCAAAGAUUUAUCGCCCAAGGAUGAGCCCGCGUAAGAUUAGCUAGUUGGUGGGGUAAAGGCCUACCAAGGCGACGAUCUUUAGCUGGUCUGAGAGGAUGAUCAGCCACACUGGGACUGAGACACGGCCCAGACUCCUACGGGAGGCAGCAGUGGGGAAUAUUGGACAAUGGGCGAAAGCCUGAUCCAGCAAUGCCGCGUGAGUGAUGAAGGCCUUAGGGUUGUAAAGCUCUUUUACCAGGGAUGAUAAUGACAGUACCUGGAGAAUAAGCUCCGGCUAACUCCGUG
RNAcentral lists this ribosomal RNA (453 nucleotides) under uncultured bacterium. Its description in RNAcentral is "bacterial SSU rRNA". It matches the Rfam family "Bacterial small subunit ribosomal RNA", at positions 8 to 507 of the family's 1533-position model. The record is from RNAcentral.